CAAUCGGCUCUUUUCAGAGCCACCGAUUCUUUAUU
This is a non-coding RNA of Anopheles gambiae (African malaria mosquito), 35 nucleotides long. The record is from Rfam. NCBI's taxonomy places the organism in Eukaryota, Metazoa, Arthropoda, Insecta, Diptera, Culicidae.